Molecule: ribosomal RNA, 709 nt
Filed under: Rhodococcus (subgen. Prescottella) defluvii
Lineage: Bacteria; Bacillati; Actinomycetota; Actinomycetes; Mycobacteriales; Nocardiaceae
Description: Prescottella defluvii bacterial SSU rRNA
Rfam family: Bacterial small subunit ribosomal RNA
Source: RNAcentral
UGCAAGUCGAGCGGUAAGGCCCUUCGGGGUACACGAGCGGCGAACGGGUGAGUAACACGUGGGUGAUCUGCCCUGCACUUCGGGAUAAGCCUGGGAAACUGGGUCUAAUACCGGAUAUGACCUUGGACUGCAUGGUUCUUGGUGGAAAGGUUUACUGGUGCAGGAUGGGCCCGCGGCCUAUCAGCUUGUUGGUGGGGUAAUGGCCUACCAAGGCGACGACGGGUAGCCGGCCUGAGAGGGCGACCGGCCACACUGGGACUGAGACACGGCCCAGACUCCUACGGGAGGCAGCAGUGGGGAAUAUUGCACAAUGGGCGAAAGCCUGAUGCAGCGACGCCGCGUGAGGGAUGACGGCCUUCGGGUUGUAAACCUCUUUCAGCAGGGACGAAGCGAGAGUGACGGUACCUGCAGAAGAAGCACCGGCCAACUACGUGCCAGCAGCCGCGGUAAUACGUAGGGUGCGAGCGUUGUCCGGAAUUACUGGGCGUAAAGAGCUCGUAGGCGGUUUGUCGCGUCGUCCGUGAAAACUUGGGGCUCAACCCCAAGCUUGCGGGCGAUACGGGCAGACUUGAGUACUGCAGGGGAGACUGGAAUUCCUGGUGUAGCGGUGAAAUGCGCAGAUAUCAGGAGGAACACCGGUGGCGAAGGCGGGUCUCUGGGCAGUAACUGACGCUGAGGAGCGAAAGCGUGCGUAGCGAACAGGAUUAGA